Molecule: transfer RNA, 72 nt
Organism: Camelus ferus (Wild Bactrian camel)
Lineage: Eukaryota; Metazoa; Chordata; Mammalia; Artiodactyla; Camelidae
Rfam family: tRNA
About the family: Transfer RNA (tRNA) molecules are approximately 80 nucleotides in length. Their secondary structure includes four short double-helical elements and three loops (D, anti-codon, and T loops). Further hydrogen bonds mediate the characteristic L-shaped molecular structure. tRNAs have two regions of fundamental functional importance: the anti-codon, which is responsible for specific mRNA codon recognition, and the 3' end, to which the tRNAs corresponding amino acid is attached (by aminoacyl-tRNA synthetases). tRNAs cope with the degeneracy of the genetic code in two manners: having more than one tRNA (with a specific anti-codon) for a particular amino acid; and 'wobble' base-pairing, i.e. permitting non-standard base-pairing at the 3rd anti-codon position.
Source: Rfam
GAGGGUACAGCUCAGUGGUAAAGUGCGUGCUUAGCAUGCACGAGGUCCUGGGUACAAUCCUCAGUACCUCCA